GCCACCAUGCCUUGCCUCGCCGCCAUUGAUCUCUCCGCAGUCCACUUCCGCCGGAGCUCAUGCCAUUGCCGAUUGAGCACCAUGAAGAACAGAAGGUGCGCUCGAUGAGUGAGAAGGGAUGGAGGCUGGGUUUUUGUCACUGUACUACUCCAUUUCUACCUCUACCAUGCCCUAUUGAGGCUGUCGGAGCCUCUGCUAUCAUCGGGGUGGCUGUUUAGUUGAUGUUGUUGCCUGGGUCGCUGCGGUACGAGCUGCCAUCAAUGGAGCUGCUCUGUGCAGUGGUUUCGGUGAGUUUUGACACUGAGCUACUAUUAUCAGAAAUUCGGGCCGCCGUUAUCGCUCGAAAUUUAAUGGAGCCGCUGCCGGGUUGAUAUGGAGCUACGGCCAUUUCGUUUUGUUAAUUCAGGGUUAGAAUCCGAGUUUACUUGUGGCGUUGAGGCUGUUUCUUCUAUUGAGGAAAACACAUGGAGUCGGGAUUUUGAUUGUUGAUUUCAGGUUGAAGUGGAAAGGACUUUGUGACGCGUUUGGGUUAUGGAAUUACGUUUUGAGGAUAUGGGCGCAGAAGUCACGAAGAGUUAUCUAGUUGUUGUUGAGAUGUUCUGUGUUGUUUUAGUUAUGGUUUAUUAUACCCUCGCCUUUAUCUUGAGAUUUUCUGUAAGAGGGAUAUGAAUUGUAUUGGAUACUGCUUGUGAUAUUAUUUAUAAAUAUAUGUAUCUAUAUGCAUGUA
Long non-coding RNA from Arachis duranensis, 727 nucleotides. RefSeq lists it as uncharacterized. NCBI's taxonomy places the organism in Eukaryota, Viridiplantae, Streptophyta, Magnoliopsida, Fabales, Fabaceae. The record is from RefSeq and is a predicted model, not a curated record. The transcript is spliced from 4 exons.